Molecule: ribosomal RNA, 253 nt
Filed under: uncultured bacterium
Lineage: Bacteria
Description: partial 16S ribosomal RNA
Rfam family: Bacterial small subunit ribosomal RNA
Source: RNAcentral
UACGGAGGAUCCAAGCGUUAUCCGGAUUUAUUGGGUUUAAAGGGUGCGUAGGCGGCCUGUUAAGUCAGGGGUGAAAGACGGUAGCUCAACUAUCGCAGUGCCCUUGAUACUGAUGGGCUUGAAUGAACUAGAGGUAGGCGGAAUGUGACAAGUAGCGGUGAAAUGCAUAGAUAUGUCAUAGAACACCGAUAGCGAAGGCAGCUCACUAGGCCUGGAUUGACGCUCAGGGACGAAAGCGUGGGGAGCAAACAGG